GACGAACGCUGGCGGCGUGCCUAAUACAUGCAAGUUGAGCGAUGAAGAUUGGUGCUUGCACCAAUUUGAAGAGCAGCGAACGGGUGAGUAACGCGUGGGGAAUCUGCCUUUGAGCGGGGGACAACAUUUGGAAACGAAUGCUAAUACCGCAUAAUAACUUUAAACAUAAGUUUUAAGUUUGAAAGAUGCAAUUGCAUCACUCAAAGAUGAUCCCGCGUUGUAUUAGCUAGUUGGUGAGGUAAAGGCUCACCAAGGCGAUGAUACAUAGCCGACCUGAGAGGGUGAUCGGCCACAUUGGGACUGAGACACGGCCCAAACUCCUACGGGAGGCAGCAGUAGGGAAUCUUCGGCAAUGGACGAAAGUCUGACCGAGCAACGCCGCGGGAGUGAAGAAGGGUUUCGGAUCGUAAAACUCUGUUGGUAGAGAAGAACGUUGGUGAGAGUGGAAAGCUCAUCAAGUGACGGUAACUACCCAGAAAGGGACGGCUAACUACGUG
RNAcentral lists this ribosomal RNA (497 nucleotides) under uncultured bacterium. RNAcentral's name for it is "partial 16S ribosomal RNA". It matches the Rfam family "Bacterial small subunit ribosomal RNA", at positions 28 to 507 of the family's 1533-position model. The record is from RNAcentral.